AUUCUUCAACCCUCCCUUUUCUUAGUGAAUUGAGAGGAGUUUGGAUUCUGAGUGUUGCUCCUUACCCGAGCUCAUUCGUAAUAUAUUAGCAUCCAUAUUCGAAUUUCGGAUUGACUUGGCGUAAUAGACUAUUCGCUGAGGAAUCUAACUUCGGUUAGAGCCGUCUUUGAAAAAGGAAGCUGCUAAACUAGCUUAGUCUACUUUUAGAU
This 209-nucleotide unclassified non-coding RNA is filed under the name Rhodosporidiobolus lusitaniae. Its description in RNAcentral is "ITS2". Lineage: Eukaryota; Fungi; Basidiomycota; Microbotryomycetes; Sporidiobolales; Sporidiobolaceae. The record is from RNAcentral.